This 900-nucleotide ribosomal RNA is filed under the name Pseudoalteromonas arctica. RNAcentral's name for it is "bacterial SSU rRNA". It matches the Rfam family "Bacterial small subunit ribosomal RNA", at positions 382 to 1275 of the family's 1533-position model. The record is from RNAcentral. Lineage: Bacteria; Pseudomonadati; Pseudomonadota; Gammaproteobacteria; Alteromonadales; Pseudoalteromonadaceae.
CCUGAUGCAGCCAUGCCGCGUGUGUGAAGAAGGCCUUCGGGUUGUAAAGCACUUUCAGUCAGGAGGAAAGGUUAACGGUUAAUACCCGUUAGCUGUGACGUUACUGACAGAAGAAGCACCGGCUAACUCCGUGCCAGCAGCCGCGGUAAUACGGAGGGUGCGAGCGUUAAUCGGAAUUACUGGGCGUAAAGCGUACGCAGGCGGUUUGUUAAGCGAGAUGUGAAAGCCCCGGGCUCAACCUGGGAACUGCAUUUCGAACUGGCAAACUAGAGUGUGAUAGAGGGUGGUAGAAUUUCAGGUGUAGCGGUGAAAUGCGUAGAGAUCUGAAGGAAUACCGAUGGCGAAGGCAGCCACCUGGGUCAACACUGACGCUCAUGUACGAAAGCGUGGGGAGCAAACGGGAUUAGAUACCCCGGUAGUCCACGCCGUAAACGAUGUCUACUAGAAGCUCGGAGCCUCGGUUCUGUUUUUCAAAGCUAACGCAUUAAGUAGACCGCCUGGGGAGUACGGCCGCAAGGUUAAAACUCAAAUGAAUUGACGGGGGCCCGCACAAGCGGUGGAGCAUGUGGUUUAAUUCGAUGCAACGCGAAGAACCUUACCUACACUUGACAUACAGAGAACUUACCAGAGAUGGUUUGGUGCCUUCGGGAACUCUGAUACAGGUGCUGCAUGGCUGUCGUCAGCUCGUGUUGUGAGAUGUUGGGUUAAGUCCCGCAACGAGCGCAACCCCUAUCCUUAGUUGCUAGCAGGUAAUGCUGAGAACUCUAAGGAGACUGCCGGUGAUAAACCGGAGGAAGGUGGGGACGACGUCAAGUCAUCAUGGCCCUUACGUGUAGGGCUACACACGUGCUACAAUGGCGCAUACAGAGUGCUGCGAACUCGCGAGAGUAAGCGAAUCAC